AAAAAAAAAAACAAGUACAGAACAAUGUGAAUAGAAUGUUCUCAUUUAUUUUUUUUUUUUAAAGAAACAUUCUUAUUUAUUAGAUUUGGAAUGUAUGCAUCCUGUUUUAAAUUUUAUUAGUGGUUGCUUUUAAGUUAAAAAUAUUUCAGGCUGUAUUUUUCUGAUUAUCACAUUAAGGAAUGAAAUGUCAAUUUAUGGCUUCCUCUCAUGGAAGAUAAAAGACUUGUUCCCCAUCCUCACUUCCCUCCUCUCUUUAUUGGUUUAAUCUGGUAUUAUAAACCUCGGUCUCUAGGAAGAAUUUAGGGCACCCCUCACCACCCCUCUGGCUCUAGGAACUAAAAGGAUUCCUAAAGGACCGUACCUGGGCCCUGGUGCUUGCAGUUUGUUUUUGAUGCAAUGAACAAAGGAAUUUAAAGCUCAGAGUUCUUUCCUGGGAUGUCCUUCUUGGCCCUCACAGCCUUGCCGAGCCUCUCUGCCUAUCUGCCUCUGGGGUAGUCAGAGGGGCUGGAGCUGCCUCCUGCUUGGGAGGCCUCCCUUGCUCCUUCCUCCUAGAAAGUCAAAGGGAAACCUGAGUGGGGGUGGUGGUGGUUGUGGAGGGAACAAGCUGUAGAGCUGGCCUGGAUCCUGGAAGGAAACCUUCCCGUUGCAUUUGUCUUUGUGGCUCCUUUGGAGAAGCCUCUCAGCUGGUUUUAAUCUUGGUCUCCGGCACCUACCAACGUAGGCCCCACACAGUGGCUGCACAAUGGGCUCAAGCAUAGCAACGAUCUUGGGGAUGGCGCAGGACCAGACAGUUUUUAGUUGUGUUGCACAUAGGGUUACAAUGAGUCGGAACCAACUCGAUGGCACCUAAUGACAACCACCACUACCACCACCUAGGUGAAAGGAGUUCUUGAAGCUCAUGCCUAGCUCUGCCUAUUUCACUGGGGUUUCAGGGCACAGCUCCAGCCUGAAACAGCAGGAAUUCCCUCAUGAGGUGGUACCGGGACAUGAACCCCCUAGUCUCUCUGGCAGCCUUGGAUCGAGCCAGGCAGUGCAUUUUGGACAGAAGCACUGCUUUCCUUAAUUAUAUUCUCAGUGUCAGUAGACCCUAAAUAUGUGUGUGUGGGAAUUGUUUCAGACAUAGGCUUUUCUAUGAGCUGGAGAUUUUACAUAAGUGGCAUAACAGAAACUUAUUUAAAAUCAAAACUGAUUGUAGUCAGUUCUUAAUUAAAAAAAAAUUAUCAUUGAGUUGACUCUGACUCAUGGUGACCUCAUGUGUGUCAGAGUAGAACUGUGCUGUGUGGAGUUUUCAUUGAUUGGUUUUUUAAGAUGCAGAUCGCCAGAUCUUUCUUCGGAGGCACCUCUGGGUAGGGGUGGCAUAAUUCACAUCUGUGAGAGAAAAAAAAUCAUUCCAUUCCUUUUACCGCCUGCAGAAUUGUGCAGGUGACAGUGAAAGUUCAAAACUUCUGUCCCUUGGGACCCUGCAGUGGAUGUCCAUGGGGGGCUGACUCCGGCUGUGGGUUAUUGGACGUAGGAGGCCCUGCAGUGGAUGUCCGUGGGGGGCUGCUCCGGCUGUGGGUUAUUGGGCGUAGGAGGCCCUGCAGUGGAUGUCCGUGGGGGGCUGCUCCGGCUGUGGGUUAUUGGACGUAGGAGGGCAGUCUGGAGCCAGGGAGGGAGUGGAGGGCUAAGUUACUCUAGACAAUACAGUAAGGGGGAUUUAGCCCCCCAGCCCCAAUUGUAAAGCCCCUCUGUCUUUUCAUACCUUCAGGAAAGUCUGCUCAACACCCAAAUGUUUUGAACGAGUUUGUGUGUUUGUAUUUUUUUUUUUUUUUUUGUAAAGAAUGAAAAAAGGGAACUGAGUCCCAGACCUGGCACAGCUCAGAGCAGAAGGAAGAGACCAGCCUCAGGAGGUAAGAUGUGAGUGAGAUCAAAAGUCCCACAGAGCUGGAGUCAGAGCCAAACGGGACCAUUAAGAGUAUUACCCGUUGCUGUACAGUCGAUUCCGACUCAUAAGUGACCCCAUAGGACAGGGUAGAACUACCCCAUAGAGUUUCCAAGGAGCGGCUGGUGGAUUCCAACUGCUGACCUUUUGGUUAACAGUCAAGCUCUUAACCACUGCACCACCAGGGCUCCGUUAAGAGUUUUAGCUAAUGGAAAUUUGCAGAAAUCUUGGGAAGCCCAUCGGGCUUGUGGGGGUCCAAUCAGCUAUUAAAACACGCCAAAGGAAAGGGUAGCUGCAGCUGACUUCCGAUUGUCGCAGUGCUGUGUAACUCCAGCAGAACAGGGGCUUGAUCCUGCAGAUCCUGCUCUGUGGAGGUCCAUUUGUUGGAUGCUUCAGGAACUAUCAUGAUAUUUCUCUCUUUGCCUAAUCUAAAAAACCAAACCCAUUGCCACCGAGUCGAUUCCAACUAAUAGCGAGCUUAUAGGACAGAGUAGAACUGCCCCAUAGGGCUUCCAAGGAGCAGCUGGUGGACUCAAACCGCCAGGCUUCUGGUUAGCAGCUAUAUCACUUAACCACUGCGCCACCAGGGCUCCUUCUACCCAGGAGAAGAGCCGUUUAGAAGAGCCAUUUUCAGUUCAGAUGCCAAAAAGGGAAGCAAAACUUCCAAACAAAGGGCUUUGUCAUGACCCUUCCCUCCCUUGGAUUUGCAUAGAACUUGAGGGUGCUGGUUAAAGAACCUGAGAGCUGCAGCCUCCCCAGCCCAGCAGUGGUGAGUAGGGAACAUCGUUUGGGGUGGAGGGACAGUGGGCAAAACCUUCCAUAAAGCCUUGGGACUUGACGACUGCUCUGACCAAGUACUGAAGCAAAUAUCAAGAUGAAUCAAUGAGUGCUCUAAAUCAAGAAGCUAAGGUAUUGGGGCAGCUGGGAUGGGACCAGAGUGAAUUCAGCUCAUGCCACACUGAACAAGGACUUGCUCGUUCCUUAGGGAGGAAGACAUAGGCUGAUGGAAGAACCUAUUGUAUAGUCUUACAUCUGCUGUAAUUCCAAAGGUAGAGGACAGUAGAGAUCAGCAGGUCUUGACUGCCCAGAAUGCAUUCUCCCUUCUGAGCCCUUCCAGUCACCAUUACGUGACCCGAACAAGACACCUUUGGCAUCAUCACUGACAGAUUUUUACUGAGGCCAUGGAAGCAGCAGUCAAGAAAUCAAACGACGCAUUGCAUUGGGUAAAUCUGCUACAAAGGACCUCUUUAAAGUGUUGAAAAGCAAAGAUGUCACCUUGAAAACUAAGGUGUGCCUGACCCAAGCCAUGGUAUUUUCAAUCGCAUCAUAUGCAUGAGAAAGCUGGACAAUGAAUAAGGAAGACCAAAGAAGAAUUGAUGCCUUUGAAUUGUGGUGUUGGCGAAGAACACUGAAUAUACCAUGGACUGCCAAAAGAAUGAACAACUCUGUCUUGGAAGAAGUACAACCAGAAUACUCUUUAGAAGCAAGGAUGGCAAGACUGCAUCUUACAUACUUGUGCACAUGUUGUCAGGAGGGAUCAGUCCCUGGAGAAGGACAUCAUGCUUGACAAAGUACAAGGUCAGCGGAAAAGAGGAAGACCCUCAACGAGGUGGAUUGACACAGUGGCUGCCACAAUGGGCUGAAGCAUAACAACGAUUGUAAGGAUGGCGCAGGCCCCGGCAGUGUUUCGUUCUGUUGUGCACAGGGUCGCUAUGAGUCGGAGCCAACUCGACGGCACCUAACAACAGCAUAGUUGGCCUAAUCUGUGAGGUUUUGUGCAGCUUUGUGUAAUCAUCCUAGCAAACACUAGCUAACUCUGGGUUUGGCCUAAGUGCUGUACUGAUUGUCUCAUUUAAUCCACAGAACUGGUUCUUGGAUUGGUCCUAUUGUUUUCAUUUUAUGAAAGUGGAAACUGAGGCCCAGACAGGCAGAGUAGCUUUCCCACAGCCACAGUGGGGAGGCAUGGAGCCGGUCUGACUCUGAAGCUCUGUUCUUCAGCCUACUUGGUGUGUCCCCUAAGCUGGGCAGAAGGAACUGAAAGGCAAAUAUCCCGGGAUGAGUGUGUGACCAUCCUCAGAACCAGUCUGGAAAAACCCUUUCUGAAGAGACUCCCAGGUUCUCGUGUCCCCCUGAGUCCUAGUGAGACGGAGAGAGUGUUGGGGAAACAUAAGAGUACUCUGGGGUGAGUGCAAGUAUUUCUGAGUGCUGGAGUCACUGCCUGGAUGUGAGGCCCGGGACCCUGCUGCCAUGCCCACCCUGCAGAAGGCUGUCCUCCUUCCUCCAGGGGCUGGGGGCGGGCACAUGGAGAGUUGUGUUCAUGCAAAAGCGGCCUGAGAGCACCUCAGCCUACCUCCUCCCUGGGGUUGGGGGGAUACGUUUGGGUGGGAUCCAGUCUCUUGGCAGGCACACAGCCACACCCAUCACGCACUGCACCUGAAGCUCACGCCUAGACGACAGGUCCAAGGCAGUGUGGAGCAAUACCAACAAGCUCACAUCCUACUUCUAGUUGCCAGCUCUCUCCCUUUCACCCCAUGGGCUAAAAAUUGACAAUGGAAAAGAAGAAAUCCCAAGACCUCGUGGCCCUCCAAAGAUGUGUUCUAUCUAACUUUCUUGACGAACCCAUUGGGAAUUGGUACCUCACUUACUCAAGUCUCAGCUUAGGCCAGAUUUGGGGUUAUAUUGACUAAAAGAUCACGUUGGGCCAUUUCUUUGCAUUUGUACUUAUUAAGCCCUCCAGGUGGUUCUGGGCCAGGUACUGUGAGGGUACAGAAGAAAUCCAGGACAUGGAAGGUAUGAAGGCAAUCCUUCCUUUUACAGGUGGAAACAUUACAGCCCAGAAAUGUUAAGGAACAGCCCAGGUCCCACAGCUACUUGGGGGCCGUCUUGAGUUUGGAACUUGCAGUCCCUGCCUUUCAACCUGGUGCUCUUUCGACAGCAUCCCCACUCUUGCACAACUUACUGUAUGGUUGGAGGAGUAACCCCCCUGAACCAAUUACAGAACUGUCAGAUGGGAGCAGAGUUCCCCUUGUCGGUGAUUUCCCACCCACAGUGGGUUUACUACUACUAGUGUCUUUGUGUUGUUUACCUGAAUAUGCUUAUCUGGUGGUUGUAAUGUUCUUUUGAGAUUCUGGGAAUUCCCAUAAUUGGAAGAAAAAAAAUGUCUGUGAGAUAGAAUUUCUACAUUUUUUGCCUACUUUGUGCUCCUUCAGUGUGUUUGUGUGUGGUAGGAGAUAGUCUAGCACUUUCUGUCUUCAGAAGAUUUCACAUAGGAUGAUCUGGGUUGGGAUUCUCUGUGUGCUUUGAAGGGGACAAAACGACAGACACAGAAGAGCAAGAUGAACAUGGGGAAGAGGGAACUGUGCAGAGAAGAGACAUGCAGCCAUCUUACUGACUGGGACACUGUGUGCCUGGAGGGAGAAGGGAGCUGGCUGUGGCUGUCCACAGGGGUGGGUGUCUGGGUAAAAGUAAGGAGGCUGGAAAAGGGCUUUCUUAACUCAGAAGUGUACAGGUUUUGAAGGCUGCUGACAGUGGUGUUAAUGUCAUUUAUUCAUUCACUCACUCAAACAAUUCUGGAGAACAUUCAACAGGUAAUUACUUAAAAUCACCUCUGAGCAAGGCACUGUGUCAGGCUCUAGAGAAGAUUUGUCUCAUAUCGAGGGGGGCAUCUUGCUGUUGUCCUCAGUGCCCUCUGGCUCCUGUGGCAUGCUGAGCGCUCCCGCUCGGCCUCACUGGCUCCAGAGUUGACUCCUGCAAGCGGGCUCUGGGCUGGGUAGGGGCUGGUGCCAGCCUCUCCAGCCAUGGGGUUAAAGGCUGUCAUCCACAGCUGCCUCAUCAAGAUCAGAUUGGAGGUUGUGGGGAGGGGGGCUGGGAGGAGGUGUUACAGGGCUGAGAUUGGUUUCCAAGGAAAAACACCACUGCAGCUUCUCGGAGCUUUCUAGCCCUUACUGCCUGGUGACACCCGACUUUUUGUUAGAGAAGAUGAAACCAGCAGGUCCCACUCUGCAGGACUGAACCAGAUUUGGAUCUCAUGAGAAAUCAGAAUAGAGUCUCAAAAUGGAAGUUCAGGGAACUUCACGCAGGAGGAACCAGCUGGUCCUGUCUCUGUGCUGCCUCUCCUGCUUGGUCAUGAGGUGCAGAGGGUCCAGGGCCUCCUGGGCCGCGUGGCUGGGGACAGAUCCAGCCGGGUGGGGCUGGCCGCGGUUAGGCCACAUUUCUAACUCGUGUUUCUUUGGAGCUGUGAGUCCUACAGAUUUCAUCGUGCCUGUUUUGGCCCUCCAUGAGGCAACAGCUGGUGGGGAGUGGCGGAGGUAGAGGGGCUGCAAGAGCAGCAAGCUAGCUGGUUCUCCUUUUCGGCCAUUUAGCAAUUUCCGGUGACUUUUGAGCAAGGACAGGUGUAACCCUUUUUGCCCUGAUAUGUGCAGUCUCCAACUUAUGCCUGUGGCCCCAAAGCCAUCUGAAAGUUGACCCUGGCUUAGCACAAUUAUCAACCAUUGGGGAGGCCAAGGGGGUAUUAAAUAGGCACCUGGGCUUGGCCUUCCCACUCCUCUGGCCAGCUAUUCAGCCAAUAAUUUUCGAGCACCUACUAUGUGCCGUGCACUGUGGAGGGUAUUCUGGCUCAUGUGUCCUUCCUUGUGUUGUUAGCUGCCAUCAAGUUGGUUCUGACUCAUGGCAACCUCGUGUACAACAAGACAAAACAUUGCCUGAUCCCGUGCCAUCUCCAUGAUCCUUGGUGUGCUUGAGUCCAUUGUUGUAGCCAGUGUAUAUUUUGAGUGUUUUCCAACCUAGGGGACUCAUUUUCCAGCACUGUAUCUGACGGUAUUCUGUUGUGAUCCACAGGGGUUUCGUUAGGCCUUUCUUCCUAGUCUGUCUUAGUCUGGGAACUCUGUUGAAACCUGUCCACCAUGGGUGAUCCUGCUGGUAUUUGAAGUACUGGUGGCAUAGCUUCCAUCACAGCAACACACAAACCACCACAGUAUAACACACUGACGGGCAGCUGAUGGGUCUCUUCAUGCUCCACACCUUUCCUUUUUAAAAUUUCAGCAACAAAGACAUAGGCCCCAGGGAGAAAACCAUGGACUUGGCCUCUAUCUAUACACGAGUAGAACUGCUGGCAAAUUCAAAUGUACCUGCUACAAACUGACCUUUCCUCAAGUAAUUUUGGGUGCUUUCCAAACUUACCAACCCCCUAAAGGGUGUGGGAGGAGGCAGGGAAAGCUUCCCAGAUAGAGGAACAGAGGGCAGGAGCCCUGUGGUGAAAGGGAGCCGGGCCCCUUCAAAACCCAAGGGAAGGCCACAUGGCCAGGCAUGGCCAGGAAGGAAAGGUGGGUGUAGUGCAGUCUCGGGGGUUGGCUCUUGCUGAGCAAGUGGGGCCCCUCUAUGAGCCCCAUCACAGUUUCCCCACUUCAUGUGGGACAUCCCUUUCCAUCCUCAGAUCUCGGUGCAGGCAUGGCCUCCUCAGGAAAAGCCUUCUCUGAGCACCUCCAUACAGUCAAAACCAGUUGCCAUGGAGCUGAUUCUGACUCAUGGAGACCCUUUGUGACUCAUGGAGAAUUGUGCUCCAUAGGGUUUUCAAGGGCUGAUUUUCUGGAAACAGAUCGCCAGUCCUUUCUUCUGAGGUGCCUCUAGAACCCUCAACCUUUCAGUUAACAGGCGAGUGCUUAACUGCUUGCACCACCCAGGGACACUGCUUACUGUCAAGCCCUCCAUUAAAUACCCUCCUCCACUUCCCCUCCAGGUCUUCGGUGGGAGCUGUGCCCUUCGAGAGCCAGGGCUGGGGCCUUUUCAGCUCCAUCAGAGUCCUUGCAGCCCCUGACUGGGGUUGAUCCUCCUUCCUCUUGCCUGAUGAUCAGGCCUUAGCAUGGAACUGUCCCCAGAAGGGCAUUACCUGGGGGCUGCAGGCAUAUGACCAGGGCCUGAUCUGUGCCGGGAGGACCAGCCCUGCCCCCAGGAGCUCUCUUGUCUGGGGACUGUCAGACACAGGGCUGCAGGCAGCUGAUAGCCAUGUGAUGGGAAUAAGAACAUGCCAGCCCAGAACCCGAUAUCCUGGGACCAGCCAGCUUCAUGGCUCCGUGCGCCCUCAGCACAGGGACACUUCAGCCACCCAACACUGUCCUUACCCAGAACUGCUCCCUCUCUGCACUAAGACUCCUCAGACCCCCCACUCUCUGACUCAGCCAUCUCUCUGUCCAGGGUUCUAUUCUACAACUCACACCACCCCUAUCCUUCACCACUCCAGGGCUUCCUCCAGCACCCACUGUGUGCCAGCUGCUUCACCUCCUAUUCCUGAACCCAUUUUCCCUAUCACCAACCCACUCUCUUCCCUAAAUCUUCCACCCCUCAUCCCCAUUGUCCUCCCUGCCCCUGAUCUAGCAAGGACACCCGAAGUCUGGGUUUGACCAACCUCAUGCUGUCCUCAUCUCCCCAGUGUGGAUUGGAACUACCAAAACCAAGGCCUCCUAUCCCAAGUGAACCCCAAGCAGCUAGCAUUUCUAUUCCUGCUCUCUUCAGAGUUGUUCCAUGUCUCCCCACAUCCCCUACCCCAGACCCUCCCAUCACACUUCCAGCAGACUACCCUGACCCCCACUUCACUGAGAGGUCUCUGCUCAGGUCACCCUGCAGAGGGGAGCAGCGCUGCUGACAGGGGAGCCAGAGUCUGGCUGCUUCCACCCAGUGUGGGACCCCCUCAGGGCCACCUCUGCCUUGGAGCUCCACUGGGCCAUCCAGGCUUCCUCACAGCUGCCCACAGUCCGAAGCUCUUCUGUCCUGAUCCUCUUGCCUGCAUCUCAGCCUGAAGGCUUUCCCUGCCCACUCCUGCCCCCUCUUCCUUAUAUCUUUCACAACAGAGUUACCCCAAUAAAUCUCUUGCGUUUCUGACUGCAUUUUGGCCUCUUCUUAGAGAACCUGAGCUGACAACUCACUUCCUGCCUUGGCUUCGCUCUUGUGUUCUUCCUGCACGUGUCCGUGAAAGACAGCUAUCUGCCUGCCCAAGGCUAACCCUUCCAGCUGUGCUGUGGACCCUUACUUCUCUCUCCCGUUAGCCCAUCUCCUGACCCCUUUCUCCUUCCCUUUGCUGCUGUUCCUUCCAUCCACUGCCCUGCUUUUUCCUCGCCUGCCACUGAAUUCCUGGGUACUUUCCAACCUUUGCCGGGCUUGACUGUGCUAAGCACCAUCUCCUUCUUGAACCAGUCUCCUGUCUUGUCUUCUGGAACCCCCUUCUCCCGUCUUCCUCCUUCCUCUGUCACUGCUUCUUCUCUGUCUCCUCAUCCACUGCUGGCUCCUUAAAUGCUGGUGCUCCUUGGGGUGUGUGUCUUAGCCCUCUUCUCAGUAAACUCCCUCCCUCCAUGGGGGAGAUGGUUCCCAAAUGCUGAUAUGCUGACAACUCCCAAAUUCCAUCUCCCAAGCCCAAUCAGAAUUUUUUCCUGAGAUUCAGAUUUCAAUAUCCAGCUGGCCAGAGGACUCUUCCACUUGUAUGUUUCAUGUCUACGUCAAACCCAGUAAGUGGUAAGAUGAACUCGUAGUCACCCUGCAAAUCUGCUCUUCUGGGAUCUCUGCCCCAGAGAGUGCCACCACCAUCCGCCAAGUCCCCCAGACCAGAGACCAGGGCAACCUCUUCAGUCCUUCCAGGUGGUCACCAGGUACUACCAGCUCUACCCCCUAAACUCUCUUCCCAUCUGUCUGCUCCUCCCCAUUGCCACUGCCAUGGUCUUGGUUCAGGCUUUCAGCAUUUCUUAGCUGAACUGUGGAUUCCAUCUCUUAACCCAGUUCUUGAUUUUCAUCUGUCUUGGUUAUCUAGUGCUGCUAUAACAGAAAUACCACAAGUGGAUGGCUUUAACAAAGAGAAGUUUAUCCUUUCACAGUCCAGUAGGCUAGAAGUCUGAAUUCAGGGUGCUGGCUCCAGGGUAGGCCUUCUCUCUCUGUUGGCUCUGGGGGAAGGUCCUUGUGAUGCAUCAGUCUUCCUUUGGUCUGGGAGCAUUUCAGCGCAGGAAUCUCAGGUCCAAAGGGCAGGCUCUGCUCCCAGCACUGCUUUCUUGGUGGUAUAUGACAUCCCCAUGUCUCUCUGCUUGCUUCUCUCUUUUCUCAAAAGAAAUUGGCUUAAGACACUACCUGAUCUUGUAGACCUCAUCAACAUAACUGCCACUAAUCCAUCUUAUUACGUCAUAGUGAUGGGAUUUACAACACAGAGAAAUCACAUCAGAUGAUAAAAUGGUAGACAAUCAUACAAAGGAAUCAUGACCCAGCCAAGUUGACAGAUAUUUUGGGGGGACACAAUUCAAUCCAUGACAUCAUCUUAUUUUUCUCCAUUACAUUCCUCAAAUUGCCAUUUCUGAAAAGCCUGUAACUCUGUGCCAAGAAGCCUUCCAUUGCACCCCAUCACCUUCACCAUCAUCAGCAUCACCAUUUAUCUUGCUUUCUCCAUGUGCUGAUAAAAACACCUCUGGAUCUGACCCUGCCUUCCUCUACAGGCUCCUCUUUGGCCUCAGAGCAUUGGCCAGACAGAAUCACAGGUAGUUCUCCAAACGUCCUGCACGGUCAUGCCUCAGGGCCUUUGCAAUGCCUCUCUCUGCCUGGACCACUCUCCCCCAUUCCCCACCAAGCUAACUCCUACCCAGGGGGUCGCCAUCCCCAGCAGCCUGAGUAAGGUGCUCUUUCUCUGCCCUUCCCAGCACCCUCCACCUAUCCCUGUCUACCAGGGGGCUUAUUGUCUUGUUUCUGUUUCCCCCACCAGACUCAGAAGUUCUGAGAGCCUGGCCCAUUUUUGCAUCACCAGCACCUAGUGCAGAAUCUGGCACAUAGUCAGCACUGAAUAAAUAUUAUUCAUGAAUGAACAAAUGAAUGGCUUCUGCUGGGGAAGGGUGUGCUUGCUGGGGAGACAAUAUUUGAGGAGAGUCCAAAAGAAAGACUAAGAAUUUAUGAAGCCGGGGCCCAAAUGGAGAAGAGGAUUCAGGGCCAGGGACUGGCAGGUGCAGGGACUGGUAGGUGCAAGGUGUGGAGGUUGGGAGAGCAGGUGUGUUCAGGGAACUGCAGGGAGUUCUGUAGCUGAAGCAGAGGGUGAGUGUGAGGAUGUGCCAAAGGUGAAUCUGGAGAGACAGGUCAAAGGACAGGGGAGAGCACCUGCUGGGAGCCUGACUCUGCCCAGUACAGAACGGGGCAGGAUGUAAUGAGUGCUUUUGACGCCAUGAGGAAGGUAGGACAGGAGCGAGCAGUGUCCAGCAGAGGGGAGCCUAGGGAGGAAGUGAUGAGCGGUCCAGGUGAGGGGUGAUAGGGGUAUGAUCCAGGGCAGGACAGAGGACAGACAGCAGGUGUUUAGGUGGCAGUGACUGGUGCCUGAGGAGGUGCAGGGGCUGUGGGGGAAGAGCAGGUGACGGUGAUGCUGUGGUUUCUGGAUGGGGUUCCUGGGUGGUAGUGGAGUUUUCACCAAGAUGCCAGCCCUGGGGAGGAGCAGGUUUGAGGGGAAGAAAAUGAGUUCUGUUUGUUUAUAAGGUCACACCUGGAAAAUGUACAUUGCAAGUGGCCAUCAGGUUUUUGAAGACCUUUUUUGAGGAACUCACUCAAGGUGAAGCUGGGUGGGUGGGUGGAGGCAGAGCCAGUGGCAUGCUGGAGUCAGGUCAUGUCAGCACCCAAGAGCUGGUUGUUCUAUUUUCAAAAUCUUGUGAAGCAGUGGUUAAAUCUAACUAGUAUUAAAAGCUACCAGCUGCUUCACAGAAGAAAGACGUGGCAGUCUGCUUCUAUAAAAAGUCUGCUUCCUUGGAAACCAUGUGGGGCAGUUUUACUCUGUCCUAUAGGGUUGCUAUGAGUCGAAAUCAACUCGAUGGCAAUGGGAGAAUUUUAAAAAUAUUAUUUUAAAAACAAAGGUAGUAAGUACUCAAAACUUAUCAUUUCCUAAUUAUUUUACUACAUUUUUCUAUCAUUUGUGCUUUUUCAGUUAGUUACAUCUAUUGUGUCUACGGAAAUACUAUAUAAUAUUGUGUUACUGUGUUUUUCUUCCCAACUCCACAUUCAGUAGCAUCACCUUGGUGGCUUGAAAUCAGUCAUGGUGGGAAUAUUUACACCAUGGAAAUUGGCAAACACUGCAAACCAGGGCUUGAUUUAUUGUUUUGUUAACUGUCUAGCCAUAAGAAAGUUAUGAAGAAAAUGUUUAUAAUGUACAUUAAACUUAAAUGUAUAUUGUGUCUGUAGGCAUUACAACGUGAAUAGCACUGAAAAUUUAAGUAGAUAUUCUUCCAGUAUUAAAAAAUUGUUAUCUGAUUUAGCAAAGAAAUUGCUAAUGCGGUUGGCCAAUAAGUGAAGUUCCAACAUAUGUCUUCAUUGUUUUGGUUUUUUCUAACUAACUGAUACAAACAAAAAUAUCAACCAACAGUCAUGCAGGAACUUUACUGGUUUGUCAGUUGCAACUAUAGGUUGGCUAUGGACUCAGGAGUUUGGCAAAAAUCAAUGAGACAUUCUAUAAGACUCUUGUAUAUGUGCACUUUACAAUAAAGAGUACUAUCGUCAACAGAAGAGUGGAUAAACAAAAUGUGGUACAUACAUACAAUGGAAUAUCACUCUGCCAUGAAGAGAAAUGAUGUUCUGAUACAUGCUACAACAAUGAAUCUUGAAAACAUUAAGCUGAGUGAAAUUAAAAAAAAAAAAAAACCCAAACCCGUUGCCAUCAAUUCGAUUCCAACUCAUAGCAAUCCUAUAGGACAGAGUUGGACUGCCCCAUAGGGUUUCCAAGGAGUGGCUCGUGGAUUUGAACUGCUGACCUUUUGGUUAGCAGCAGAGCUCUUAACCACUGUGCCACCAGGCCUCCAAGUGAAGUAAGUCAGUCACAAAAGGACAAAUAUUGUACGAUCCCACUUAAAUGAAAUAUUUAGAAAGGGGAAAAGUGUAGAGACCAAAAUCUUUUAGUGGUUACCAAGGGCAGGUGGGAAGGGAAAAGGAGAGCCAUUACUUAAAGGGCAUUUUUUGUUAAUGGUGACAGAAAAAAUUGGAAAUAGAUAGUGGUGACGGUUGCAACACGAUGAAUGUAAUUAAUGCCACUGAAUUGUCCACCUAAAAAAUGUUGAAAUGGCAAAUGUUUUGUUAUAUGUAUUUUUACCACAAUAAAAAAGUACUGUAUAUUUUAUUAUUUUGUAAAUUGUCAAACAUCCUUUAUGUCAAUAAAAAUUGCUCUAAAAAUUGUGUGUGCGUUUGCAUGUGUAUGCACGCACAUGUACACCCACACAUUUUCCUCAGAGAACCUGUCGCUGACAUUUACCGGCACACGAGAGGGCAGCUUGCCAUAGGCUGAUGAGUAGUCAGGAGCCUUGGUGGUGCAGUGGUUAAGCAUUUGGCUGUGCACCAAAAGGUUGGCAGUUCCCAUCCUCCAGCUGCUCCUUGGAAACCCUUUGGGACAGUUCAGGUCUCUCCUACAGGGUCGCUAUGAGUCAGAAUCUACUCGACAGCAAUGGGUUCAUUUUUUUUAAUGGCUAAUGAAUAGGAUCCUUGGUGGCACAGCAUUGCUGUGGAAGUUAAGCUCUUGGCUGCUAACCAAAAGGUCAGCGGUUCAAACCUACCCCAGCUGCUCCAUGGGAAAAAGACGUGGCAGUCUGCUUCUGUAAGGAUUUACAGCCUUGGAAACCAUAUGGGGCAGUUCUACUUUGUCCUAUAGGAUCACUGUGAGUCGACUCGAUGGCAAACGGUUUUUUUUAAAUGCCUAAUGAGGAGCUCUGGUGGCGCAAUGGUUAAGCGCUCAGCUGCUAACCUAAAGGUUGGUGGUUUGAACCCAUCGGCGGCUCCUCAGGAGAAAAGACCUGAUGAUCUGCUCCCAUAAAAACUACAGCAUAGGAAACCCUAUAGGGCAAUUCUAGUUUGUCACAUGAGGUGGUUGUGGGUCAGAAUCGACUUGAUGGCAUGCAACAAUAAUAACAACAACAACGGCUGUUGAUGAUGGGCGUCUUUAAAUGUGCUUGUUGGUCAUUUGAGUAUCCUCUUUGGUGAACUGUCCAAGUCCUUUGCCCAUUUUUUGACUGGAUUGUUUGUCUUUUUGUUGUUAACCUGGUAAUUCAAUCUUAAUGUAUUUCACUAAGGUAAAAUACACGACAAACUGGAAAUUUAAAAAAACUGGUCGCUCCCUUUAGUUAAUCUGAGAAGCGCUGUGCUAUCCCAUUGAUCUGAUCACGUCGCUUCCCCUGCUUGGAAUCCUUGGUGAGUCCCACUGACUACACAGAGGUUUUCAAAUGGUGAGUUGAGAUCAGUCCGUGGUUGGGAGGAUAAUUUAGUGUGUUUGUCACCAGCAUUAUAAAAAGAAGAAGGAAAAGAAGUGGAGUCAAGUAGAAAAUAUCAGAGUGUAUUGCACAUAUAAAUACAUUUUGUUUCAAUUACAUAUGUGUGUGCAUAACCUAUUUUCAUAUAUUUCAAUGCAUAUAUGUAGUGGAUUGUGAUGGAAAGUGUCAUUCUUUCUGUUACCACAAUAAGAAAAAAAGAGUCUGAAUGCCGCUGGUCUGUGGAAUCAAGACCAUGCUGCCAGGCCGGAUGUUCAAAGCUGCAGAGGCAGGAGCCAUUGCUGCGGCAGAUUGGGCAGCCUUCAUGGGAAAGAGUGAAUGUGAGCUGGCUUUGGAGGAUGACUAGGCUAUCAGGGAGCAGGGAGAACAACAUGAGCAAAGGCCCAGAAACACCACGGCUUUCAUGCCUAGGUGUUCGCACUCAAGAGAGGGCCCAGGCCCUGGCCUCUGGGAGCUUGCUGUAGCUCAAGGAACACGGGCCUGUGUGAUGGGAACUCAGAGGAGGGAGCCCUUAGAUCUGUGAGAAAAAUCAAGGGAGACUUCCUGGAGGUGGCAAUGCCAUAACUGACUUCUAAGGAAAGGGUUGUGGAUUUCCAGGGAACCAGGGGUGUGGGGAGGGCUUGGCUGGCUGAGUAAGUGGCUUGUGAAAAGACACGAGAAAGCCCGUUAUGUUUGGGGAACUUUAAGCCAUUUAGUGCAGGUGGAGCGUGAAGUCUGACGCAAGGAGGGUCUUCACAUGCCAUGCUGAGAGUCAGGAUUUUAUUUUGUGAUGAGGAGUUAUGGCAGAAUUUUGAAUAGAAUGACACGAUCAGAUUUACACCUUCUUUGAAAGGUGACUCCGAUCAGAUUUACACUUUCUUUGAAAGGUGACUCCAGCAGCCCAAGAAGAGCGGAUUAACAGGGAGGGAACAGGAGGCAGGGAGACCUGUAGGGUGACUUGGUGAUGGAUGGCUAGGACAGGCAGCCAGAGAAGGGAGGCGGUGAGGAUGACGCCUGUGUUCCUGACUCUGGAAACGUCUGGCUGGUGGGGCCAGUUGUGGAGAUAAAGAACGCACAAGGCAGAGAAGGUCGGAGGGAAAACGUGUUUAAUGUUGAAAGUGCCACUUCUAGGCAGACAUGUCAGGUGGAGCAGAGGAGGGUACCAGACCAGGGGUACAGGCCUGGGUGUCACUGGCUUGGAGAGAGUGUGUGGAAUAGAGGGAAAGGGCUGUAGGUGAAAUUUAGGGAGCAGUUUCUAGGAGUGUCCAGGAAGAGAGGAGCCCAUGAAAGAUGGAGGGGAGUAGCCUCAGAGACGGAAGAUCCAGGACCUUGGAUCACAGAAACCAACGGAGCGGAGAGACCUAGGAGGAAAGGCACCAGUGCAAAUGCUACGGGCAGUCACAUUCCCUGAAGGCUGAUGAGGGGCCACAGGAGGCUGUCACCAGGACGACACAGCAGUGGGUGGUGGGGACAGAAACCAGGGACUUUAGGAGUCAGUGGAGGUGACACAGGAGUCCCUGGGUGGUACAAAAGGUUAAACACUUGGCUGCUAACCAAAAGGUUGGCAGUUCAAGUCCACCCGGAGGCACUUUGGAAGAAAGGCCUGGCAAUCUACUUCUGAAAAAUCAGCCAUUGAAAACCCUAUGAAGCACAGUUCUACUUGACACAUAUGGGGUUAUCAUGAGUUGGAGUAGAUACAAUAGCAACUGAUACGGUUUGGGGGUGACGCAGUGAAGCAGAGUAAGCAGGGCUACAUCUAGAGCAUAUGGCACCCUUGUGUGCAGUAGAAAGGGUGCGCCUUGUGUGCAUCUCCUCCAGGCAGAUGGAGCCCUUAUCCCAGCAUGGUGGCUUGGUGAGAGGAGGGCAGGCUGAACCUCAGCCUUGAUGUGCCAGCAGUGGCACUUCUUUGUGCCGUGAACAGCCUGCACAGCUGAACACCAUGCCCUGAGAGUGUGGGCCAUCAUUUCUAGAAACUGGGAGGGAAGGAAAAAAGUCAUCCACCAAAGAGGAUGCAGGAUCAUGUGAGGAUUUUCUCUAUUAAGAUGGGAGAGACUCGUGCCUACGGAUCCUGAUGAGGGAAAGGAGAGAGAGAGUUUGGAGAUUCAGAAAACAGAGAUGAUACAGGGUGAGGAGGUCUACAACAAGGAGCUGGUAGGAGCCCCGGCAGGAGGGGCACACUUUGUCUGGGGUGCAGGGGGCAGGGCAAGGCUGAGGGACAGCAGGACUGUCUGUGAGCCCAGAGCCUGGGGUGGAGGGCCAGUGCUGCAGGAAGAAUUAGCCCAGAAUCUUUGCCACAGGCAUGAGAAAGGAUGCUGAGAAGGGACACCAAGGCACAGCUGUUUCUGCUGAUGACCAGCAGUUCCAGUGCCCAGGCUGGGUGACACACAGACUAUCCAAGGAGAGGGCGAGGAAUGGGUGGGCCAGAGUGGGAAGGUUUUGACCCAGAGCCUUGGUUUACUAUUUUACUUUUUACUACAGAAAAAUUUCAAACACACCCAAAAAUAGUGAGAAACUAAAAUGAACCCCUUGAUACCUGUCAUUUAACUUCGAUUAAUUUUGCCAGUCUCAUUUUAUGUAUUCCCUUGCCUACUUUUUGUACCUUAAAAAAAAUUCUUUUUUUUUUUUCUAUUUGGAAAUAACUUCAACCUUACAGAAACCUACAAAAACAAGAUUCUUUAUUUUUAAAUAACUUGUCGCUUAUUGUAGAAUAUAUUCUCAGAAUGUUUAUAGAAGAAAAUGUCAUUCAUGAUUCCACCACUGUUAUCGUGUUAGUAUAUUCACUUCCAGUCUUUUUUCUGUGCUUAUAUACAUUACGUACACACGCAUACACAAUUUUUGUAUACAUAUUUUAAAUUGGACUACUCUAUCCAGAGACUAACCCCAUCUCCCAAAGCCUUCCUGCCUGGCGUGUCCCAGGCCCUCACCUCUCAAUUCCCUCCACAGGUUGUUUUGCUGUGAGCAGACAAAAAUUAUCCCCAGUUUUUGGCUUGUGGAGCCCUCAUUCCGUGGUUUCCAUGCUGAUGCAGGUUUCCCUUUAUCGUUUAUUUCUGUUUUUCCUGGGUGAUAUCGGUUGACUUCUGGUGGAGGAGUUGCACGAUGCUCCUGUGCUGCCAUUUUGCCGGGAAGUCUCUGACUGCACCUCGUACACCUCCACACACUCAUCUUUCUGGAUUCUGGGCAUCCGUGUUUGGGUCUGUCUCCCUCAUUCCUCUGUGAACUCUGUGAGGUAGAGCUCAUGUGAGGUAGGGCUGAUUCAUCUUUCCAUGUGAGGCCGAAUUGACCCAACAAGUAUGUAUGGAAUUGCACCAGCCUACUGAUUUGGCACCACCUCUCCCAUCUGUGCUGCAGACUCUCUGGGUGCCUUACUUGAAUUAUAGCAACCAGCAUGUUGUCUAGCACAUAGUAGGUGCUCAAUAAAUGCUUGUUAAUGUCGUUACCAGUUACUCGGAGCUUUCUGUACACGUUAAGGCUCCACUCUUUCCAUACACAAUAAGGCUCCACUCUUUCCCCUUCUUCCUUUUCCUCGUUUCUCCACUUCAUCCUUAUGGUACAAAAGAGAGACCCCAGAGACAUGCCAGAGGGAAGUUUCCUCACUGCCCCUCCUCCUGCUUGUCUAAGUUAGGAGCACAGCUAAGUUGGGGAUUGAUUCAAAAGAAGCAGUUCCCUGGGUUGAGGCUAUUUUAUAUGUUUUCAUUGCUCACAAUACAAGUUAUCAUUACCAGCAAUUAAAACUAUUUUAGGAUCAGUUCAAAGCUGCGUUUGAGGUAUUUUAAGUUGGAUAAAAGUCCUCCAUGUGUCUUGCUCGAAGCCAAGUUUUCCAGUAUCAUUAAACCCACUUGCAUUUGGAGGUUACCCAACCUGUAUAUUUUGAUUGCCUGAACAUUUCAUACAUUGCAGGGGUGUUUGUUAAAAGUGGUUUAAUGUCCCCAAAGGUGUUUGGACCUGUCUUACAAAUACCACUCCCAACCUCAAUUAAGUGGAGGCAACAGUGAAGACAGGAGUGGAGGAGAGGGAUCUGCAUAGGGUCUUUCCCUAAAAGCCAGUCCCUCUGGCCAGGAGGAGCUUCCAUGACCCCAAGGGAGGAUAGCAAUGAUCGGGGCAAGAAGGGGUGAGGGCUUGGUAUAGGAUGGAGACACCAGGAAUUGGGAAGAAGGCAGGAACCCAAUUUGGAUGGCUGGGCUGUGAGGAGGGGACUGUGAAGGCCUUCUGGAUGCCUUAAGUAAUCUUCAUAUUUGAUUGAAAGAUAAAAACAGGGGAAGAACUGGUUUUGGCAAACUGGACUUCUAGAGAUUUAGUCAGCAGCUUGCUGUGACCAAGUCUUCGUUGGUUCAGGACAUGACCCUGAAGUGCUCUCAGUGGCAUUGGGGCAUGGGGACCACUGUUCCCCAGACACCUCCAGGGCCCUCCUGGGCCGCGACGUGCAUGAAGCAUUGCUGUUGGGCUGAGCUUGGCGGGAUUCCCUAGGAAGUCUUCUUAAGUUGGAGGGUGGGAGGGCAGUCCAAGUGGGAAGAAGAGGUUUUGGAGUGGUGGAGAGCUGGGAAAGAGCCCUGCAGGCAGGAAUGUUCUGUCCCUCAGCAGCAAUACUGGCCUGUUCAAUGAGGGCUGGGGCAGGGACACUCAUCUUGAGAGGGUCUGAAAGGGGCCAAGAAGGGGACCAGACAGGGGCAAGCUGUCCUGCCCAAGGGAGUGCUUUGGCCAGGACUGGAUGUUUGUCUUGGGUGAGUCCUGCUCAUAACAGUAGCAUUGGUGGUCUGAGGGCUUAUGGUUUGGGGACAAGGAACUGCUCGCUAGUGCCUCAGGCGUCUCAACACACCUUGCUUUGGUCAGACCCCACCCAGACCCCUUGGGCUCUGAUCUGAAUUCCUAACUGGAUUUUUGUGCUCACCUCUUUGCCCCUUCUUCCAACUUGAAGUCCUGAUGCCAUAAACCUAUUGAAGCAGAACACUGGAAGCAGAAUGCAGGCUGUGCUCCAAGGAGCUGUGCCACCAACCCCUUCCAUAAACCCUCACACCAACCUGGGGACAGGGACCUCAGGAUGGUGUGUGCAGGCACAGGGCAGGCAAAUACGGGAAUGUGCUGUUGGUGACGAAUGCCCAGGGAUGGGACAAAUGGAGGGCAUCCAUGUCCUUGGCCCCGUGGGGUGGAAGAGAAUGGAAGGUAGGAUGACACACUUCAAAACUGGCUCCUUUCAAAGCAGUAUGGCUGUGACUGGGGGCUGCUUUAAAUGGGUCAGCCUUCACAUGUGCCUGGGUCUUAAACUCGUCAAAACUUGGCUGUUAAACAUUUCUGUCAUAUUUGCAUUAGCUUGUAAGCCAUGACAAUGGGGUACCUGCCUAGUUUUCUGAACCAGCAAGUGCACCCAGAGGCUAAUAAGCAGGUGUCUCCAAUAAAUGUGAUUUGAAUACUCAAGGUAAAUGUGUGCUCAGGUCAACAUGUGAAAUGAAAACCAAAACCAAACAAAACCCACUGCCGUAGAGUCAAUUCCGAUUCACAGCAACCCUACAUGUAGCACAGGGUAGAAAUGUCCCAUAAGGUUUCCAAGGCUGUAAUCUUUAGAGAAGCAGACUGCCACAUUUUUCUCCCAUGGAGCAGCUGGUGGAUUUGAACCACUGACUUUUCAGUUAGCAGCCAAGUGCUUAACCACUGACCCACCAGGGCUCCUAUGUGAAACAAAUGGCAGGGGUGCCAAAUUCUACAUGUAAGUCACACCAGUCCGGAGCCGUUGGAACUGAGAACGGUAGUGCAGUUGUAUGUGCUUGGGGUGUGCUUUACGUGUGCAGGGUAUGUGUGCAGUGUGUGGGGAGCAUGUUUUUGUGGGGAGUGUAUGUAUGUGUGGUAUGAGGUAAGGAGUGUGAGUGUAUAUGUGACAGUAUGUGUGAUGUGCGUGAGUGUGUAUGUGUAAUUUGUGUGUAUAACUGUGUGUGAAUGUGUGAGUUUCAAGAGAAGUCUCCUCCAGAUUUGUUAGAGACAAAACUAGCUAUAUUAUUUGCAGCACUCAGUGCAAAAUAAAAAUGUGGGGGGCAUGUUGUUAAAAAAUUAUUAAGAAUUCAAGACAGCAACAGCAGAGCAUCAAGCCAAGCUUGAAGCCCUUCUGAGGAUGAGGCCCUGUACUUUUCCUCCCCUCGACCUUCCUAUGCUGCCUUUAAAGGGCCUUGAAUUCCCCUGUGUUUUCUUUCCAUCCAGCUCCCCAGGGUAACCUUGACCCCAGGAAUGUAGGGAGAUGCUGGAGCACUCUGGAGAGGAGCCAGAAGUGCAGCGGGGAUAGAUCCCUUAGCUGUGGCCUGGGCCUUGCAGGACUGGUCUCAACCUUUCUUAACCCUCCCGUGUUUUGGUCUGGGCCUCCUUGGGGGCACCAAGGUCCACAAAGUAUCUCUCGGCUCUCAACUCAAAAGCCAUCUCCUUAGAAUAUCCAUGUGCCCUCACAGUCCGCCCUGUACCCUGCAUGAUGGCCCUGCCCUCUGCUUCUAGCUUCAGGCUUCUCCCCGAGCCCCCACUGUGCUCCUCCGAAGUCGCCAGUCAGCAGAGAGUCUACAGAGCAUGCACCUCCCAAAGCUGGUGUGCCCUCACAGCUCACCAAGGGCUUCAGUUUUCAGGGGCCUCGAUGGGGUCCUACCUGGACCUGUGCUGAUUUGUACGACUAUCCCUGGGAGGAGAAGCAGCAAAGAGGGACCAGGGAGCCAGGCAGGACUGGGCGGACAGAACUCACGGCCCAGAAAUCUCUGUGAGGGGGUGUAGAGGGUGGGGUUUCCUUGAGCCCUUCCUGCUUAGUGUCCUGGUUUUCCUCCUCUUGGUUAUGUGUGGUGUGCCUGCUUCAGAUCACACUCAGGGCAUGCUAAUGGGUCAUAAUGAGGGUGUUCCCAUCCCAAUACCUACACUUGUCAAUAAUUAGCAGUGACUUCCUAGGUUCUGGAAGGAGGCAGAGAGCCAGGCCUGCUCCAGCUGGUUUAGCUCAGUGCCCCAUUAACAUAGCAAUUUCAACGUCCCUUAGUGGUGCUUGGGAGUUCCAGGUCUGGCAUCUUCCAAGGGUUGAGGGAACUCAAGAACUUACCUUCACCAUGCCCCUGAUCCUAGCCAGAGACCCGCUCCUACACUCCGUCAAAGGCUAGCUUCUGAUCCCUUCCAUCUGCCACAGCAACCAAGUGACCGCUGUAUGCUUCUGUCAAGGGGAUCCCAGUUGGGACUAUGUGGACAGACACAUCCUGGAGGGCCACCCCGAACAAGGCCACCUGCCUAAGUCAAAGUAAAAAUUGUAGAGGAAGGCAGGGGCAAAGUGGGCUUGGGCUCCUUAUGUAGAGAGGUGAUUUGGCUCAAGUGGUUGGGAGGGGUGGAAGUUGCUUUGAACUUAUUGGUCACCAGUCAUGGGACUUUGCCUGUUCCAGAGAGAUGGUGAUCAAGGCCCCCAUGCAGGAGUGUGCUGAUAAACUGGCUUUCCAGGGAAAUGAAAAAGGUCCUGGUUUAGCAUCUGCCAAUUUCGGUGGUGUAAAUAUCCUACCAUAUCCCAUCAUAUCCCAUUUAGAAUUGCCAGGUGUUUAAAACUGGCUUACAAAAUUCUUGAAUAUUUAACAAUCAAUUCUUAUUCACGGCCCAUGGAGACCACUGCCCCCACCGGCGAUCAGCAGCCCUCUCAUUCCAUGGCUUUGUUGGCAUGACACCCUCAUCCAUACACAGGGUAGACAGCCAUUUAGGCUCCCUGUGCUUCGAGGGGCCUAGAAGAAGGCCAGCCAGCUUGCUUCACAGGUUAUCACGAUGUUCACGGAGCUGAAGCAUGUGCAAUGACUGCCCAAGUGAACACCAAACCCAAUCAAGUGACAUGCCAUGACCCAAGUGACCAAGGACUGCCCAUUUCUACUCCAGAACAACGGGGAGAUCUGACUUGAGGGUCUACCACCGGUGGUUGAAAAGUCACAGUCUGGAGCAUCUGGCAGUCCCAGCUGACAAGCCGACCUACCUCUCCCCUCCCUCGGCCCACCAGCCUUCUUACUCAUUCUCACUUCCAAUUUGGUCCUGGUUUGGCACCUGACCAACAGGAGACCAGGUGUUUGAGGUGAUGAACAUGAGGGAGCCAGGAAGCCACUGGGUUAGCUCCCCGGGCAAUGGGACAACACCCAUCCAAGGGCUGGGAGUCCAUCCACAUUAGUCCAUUUGCAGAAGGGGCUUCCUGCUAUUGCAGGUGGCUGAGCCAUUUCUCUGCAUACAGAUUUCUCAUUGUGCAAUCUUCUCGGAGACCCACCUGCUCUUGACACCUCCCCCGUGACUCCAUUUCCCCCUCUUCUGGGCUUCUGGAAUGCCACAAUGGCCCCACCUUGGCCAGGCAGCUACGAUGAGAGAUGUUGACCCAACUGCCAAUCCUCUGGCUCACUGCAUUAGGUGGUAGGGGCUGAAGCCAGCAGCAGGGACUGGCGGGUCUUUGGGUGUGGUCAAGGACCCUGCAGGGCAGGACUGGGGCCAGAGCACCUCUGGGAUUCAGCCAGGUUCUGGAUGAUGAGUGGCACAGGGAGCUGGUGAAGUACAGGCUCUAAGCCAGGGAAAACAGCCCCAGAGCCCAGGUGUGCCACCUUCUUCUUCGUGCAUCCUUAGUCUCUCCUGCUUGGUGAGGCCAGGCCUGGGCCCAAAGUAAGUAUCUCUGGGGGCUGGAGACAAUAAAAAAAUGCCAGAUUUUGUGUGAGGCCCAGACUCUGAUUCAUAGCAGAAGACAGACUGGUGAACAAACCAUCACAAUGCACCAUGACAUGCAUUCAAUCAGACAUGGGUCCCAUGUCCUGGGGACAGAAUAAAGGCUGUAUGGGAGGUGACAUUUAAAUAGGAUCCCUUUAACAGCCCCAGUCUCUCUGUGUAGGCCCACGCCAGGCCUCCGGCCCCAGGAUUCACAGCUCUGCUUUGCGGACAUCUUUAGGGGGCUUCCCAGGGUCACCUCCAACCCCGCUAGUGGGAGGGUCACACACAGCCUACUCCAGCCAGAGCUUUCCAAGUUCUCUGUGCCGGCAUUGCCAACAUGGAGCCAUUCCUCCUUUCAGAAAAAAAGGGAGUGAAAUUCGUGUUCCCCUUUCCAUAUAGAGGGCUGGGUUGAGGCGUGGGAAGGGGAGGGCUGUGAUGCCUGGGGAAGGGGCUCUCAAAGACUUCCUGGAAGGUAAAAGGGACCAGCAGGGCAGGGAAGAGACAAUGUGUGUGGCCCCGUGGAUGGGACCUGCCCAGAGCUGGAGUCGGAUUCCCCGUAGACCAGGAGCCACCCCAUCCUAUGUCCACUCCCAGACCUUUCUGGCCCACCAGCCUACUUCAGGGCCUUAAUGAGAGCCCACAGGCCCGGGCCUAGCCCCGAAAAUGGUUGACUCUGAAUUAGGUGUAAUCAAUGAGGGGAAAUUCCUGGAGCGAUUGAAUUCAUGAAAAAUGUGUAACGUCUCUGUGUGUCUCUUCAGUCAUUUAAAAAUGAUUCCUGUGCCUACUUGACCCUGGGACCCUCCUUUACCUCCCACUCCAGGGCAUCUCAUGGGAUCCAAUACUUGGGUUAGAAUAUCAGAGAAACACCCAUCCAGUGCCUGGCACCUAGUAGGGGCUCAAUCAAUGUAAGCUCCUUUCCUUUGGCCACUCCAAGUAAUCACUUGGGGGUGAGGACAAAGGGGCUUUCCCAGUCUGAAAACGGUUGGGCACCUGGGUCCCUGCUCCCCCUUCCUUCUCUGGCUGAUGACAAACACCAAGAUGUCAUAACAUCCUCAGUGUCCUCAUGUGUUUUUCUGGGACAUGGACUGGGGAGGGUACCCAGGUAGGCCCCAUCUGGCUGUGGCGGGCCUUUCUGGCAACGUGGGCUGGCCUGUGCUGUCUGUGGAUGGAUGCAGAAGGGUGAGGCACUGAUCCUGCUAGUCAGGCAGGAUGCUGGCAAGUGGGAGGGUCAAAAAGGGGCGGGGACUGUAGAACAAAGGAGAACGGGGAGCCCUGGGGGCCCAGACCAGGGAUCAAAAAGGCUCUGUAGAAAGGAGGCCAGAGCACUGCCUGCCUCUGCAUCCAGCAGUCUGUCAGAAAUCCCUCACCUGGUCUCUUCUGCUU
RNA transcript from Loxodonta africana (African savanna elephant), 24180 nucleotides. It is a transcript of the gene named aspartic peptidase retroviral like 1, with no coding region annotated. NCBI's taxonomy places the organism in Eukaryota, Metazoa, Chordata, Mammalia, Proboscidea, Elephantidae. The record is from RefSeq and is a predicted model, not a curated record. The transcript is spliced from 2 exons.